CAGGCAGGCAGGCAGCUCUGCCUGCUGCUUUGAAUGACAAUGUUGCUUUGACUAAGUGUGUGUGUGCGUGCGUCGUUUCUCUCUCUCUGCCUCUUUCUAGUGUGUGCUUGUGUGUGUGUGGUGAGAGAGAGAGAGAGAGAGAAAGAGAAAACGCGGGCCACCACCUGUCGAUGUUGCCAGCUAACCCAGGCAACUCCAUGCCUCAAGAAGAAAGAAGAAAGGCACAGUCCUUGGAAAGCUCUUCCCAAAUUGGUGCCAUUUCAUCUCACAGAGUUUUUGUUGUGUGGAAAAUAAGAGGAGGAAGGAAUAUUAGCAUCAUGGACAUUCUCAGAGAGACUGUCGCUAUUGAAAUGACCACUAGAGCAAAUUGAGUCAUGCUCAAAGUCCUGAAUGGUAGAAAACAAAGUAGCGGACCAAAUGACAAUGCUUCAGGAUGCUUGAGAAAGAGAUGCUCAAAGGUUUCAGGCUAAAAAAACAAGACACAUUGUAAAGCUCAUUUAUCAGUUAAUUGUUCAUACUGAAAAGAAUACAAGAAUAAGAAAAAUUAAGCAAAUAAAUAUUUUAUUAUAUUUGAA
Long non-coding RNA from Pantherophis guttatus, 575 nucleotides. RefSeq lists it as uncharacterized. Lineage: Eukaryota; Metazoa; Chordata; Lepidosauria; Squamata; Colubridae. The record is from RefSeq and is a predicted model, not a curated record.